UUGCAGGUAAAGUUACAAUAUAGCUGCCAAGUGCUGUGUUGUCGUUCCCCCUGCAUAAAGUAACUCGUUUCAUACUAUCCCUGAUUGUCUAGUUUCAGAGACAGACAGGGACGCUUGGUCACGAACAU
Small nucleolar RNA from Erpetoichthys calabaricus (reedfish), 128 nucleotides. Its record names the gene SNORA63. It matches the Rfam family "Small nucleolar RNA SNORA63". From Rfam's summary of the family: E3 belongs to the H/ACA class of snoRNAs and is involved in the processing of eukaryotic pre-rRNA and has regions of complementarity to 18S rRNA. Lineage: Eukaryota; Metazoa; Chordata; Cladistia; Polypteriformes; Polypteridae. The record is from Ensembl.